Molecule: ribosomal RNA, 393 nt
Filed under: uncultured bacterium
Lineage: Bacteria
Description: partial 16S ribosomal RNA
Rfam family: Bacterial small subunit ribosomal RNA
Source: RNAcentral
AUACGUAGGGGGCGAGCGUUGUCCGGAAUGAUUGGGAGUAAAGGGCGCGUAGGCGGCCCGGUAAGUCUGGAGUGAAAGUCCUGCUUUUAAGGUGGGAAUUGCUUUGGAUACUGUCGGGCUUGAGUGCAGGAGAGGUAAGUGGAAUUCCCAGUGUAGCGGUGAAAUGCGUAGAGAUUGGGAGGAACACCAGUGGCGAAGGCGACUUACUGGACUGUAACUGACGCUGAGGCGCGAAAGUGUGGGGCUCAAACAGGCUUAGAUACCCUGGUAGUCCACGCCCUAAACGAUGAAUGCUAGGUGUAGGGGAGUCAUCUUCUGUGCCGCAGCUAACGCAAUAAGCAUUCCACCUGGGGAGUACGGCCGCAAGGUUGAAACUCAAAUGAAUUGACGUGG